This 489-nucleotide ribosomal RNA is filed under the name uncultured bacterium. RNAcentral describes it as "bacterial SSU rRNA". It matches the Rfam family "Bacterial small subunit ribosomal RNA", at positions 28 to 524 of the family's 1533-position model. The record is from RNAcentral.
GACGAACGCUGGCGGCGUGCCUAACACAUGCAAGUCGAGCGGGUCCAUCCAGUGGCAACACUGGGGAAGACCUAGCGGCGAACGGGUGAGUAACACGUGAGGAACUUGCCCCGGAGUACGGGAUAACUCGAGGAAACUCGAGCUAAUACCGUAUGCCCUCUUCUGGUCGCAUGGCCGGAUGAGGAAAGAUUCAUCGCUCCGGGAGAGCCUCGCGGCCUAUCAGCUAGUUGGUGGGGUAACGGCCCACCAAGGCAUCGACGGGUAGCUGGUCUGAGAGGACGAUCAGCCACACUGGGACUGAGACACGGCCCAGACUCCUACGGGAGGCAGCAGUGGGGAAUCUUGCGCAAUGGGCGAAAGCCUGACGCAGCAACGCCGCGUGCGGGAUGAAGGCCUUGGGUUGUAAACCGCUUUCAGCAGGGAAGAAACUGACGGUACCUGCAGAAGAAGCCCCGGGCCAACCUAACCGUGCCCAGCAGCCGCGGUAAU